This 470-nucleotide ribosomal RNA is filed under the name Vibrio crassostreae. RNAcentral describes it as "bacterial SSU rRNA". It matches the Rfam family "Bacterial small subunit ribosomal RNA", at positions 1 to 457 of the family's 1533-position model. Lineage: Bacteria; Pseudomonadati; Pseudomonadota; Gammaproteobacteria; Vibrionales; Vibrionaceae. RNAcentral also lists the same sequence under 3 other names. The record is from RNAcentral.
AAAUUGAAGAGUUUGAUCAUGGCUCAGAUUGAACGCUGGCGGCAGGCCUAACACAUGCAAGUCGAGCGGAAACGACACUAACAAUCCUUCGGGUGCGUUAAUGGGCGUCGAGCGGCGGACGGGUGAGUAAUGCCUAGGAAAUUGCCUUGAUGUGGGGGAUAACCAUUGGAAACGAUGGCUAAUACCGCAUAAUGCCUACGGGCCAAAGAGGGGGACCUUCGGGCCUCUCGCGUCAAGAUAUGCCUAGGUGGGAUUAGCUAGUUGGUGAGGUAAUGGCUCACCAAGGCGACGAUCCCUAGCUGGUCUGAGAGGAUGAUCAGCCACACUGGAACUGAGACACGGUCCAGACUCCUACGGGAGGCAGCAGUGGGGAAUAUUGCACAAUGGGCGAAAGCCUGAUGCAGCCAUGCCGCGUGUAUGAAGAAGGCCUUCGGGUUGUAAAGUACUUUCAGUUGUGAGGAAGGGGGUAG